Scheffersomyces amazonensis is the source of this 101-nucleotide non-coding RNA. The record is from the annotation of a RefSeq genome assembly. NCBI's taxonomy places the organism in Eukaryota, Fungi, Ascomycota, Pichiomycetes, Serinales, Debaryomycetaceae.
GCCUGGCUAGCUCAAUGGCUAGAGCGUUUGACUUUUAAGAAAAUUGGUUCAACCAUACUUAAGGUAUCAAAAGGUUGCGGGUUCGACCCCCGCGUCGGGCU